UUUUUUUUUUUUUUUUUUUUUUUUUUUACCUGAGAGCAUUUUACUGGGUCAAGAAAGACGCAAAAAGGAUCAUGGGUUGGGGGUGGUGUUCACAGGGUUUGAAAAUCUGAUUGCCUCCAGCCCAGAGGAUUUAGAGACCAGGCUCUUCAGGGAAAAAGCCAGGAGACUACAUGUGGUCACAGUGUUCCCAGGCCAGGCGUGUGUGGAGUGGGACAGGUGCUGAUCUAGGAUGACAAGAUGUCAGGGACUGAUAUGGUGGGACUGAUCAGAAAGCAGGUGUAUGUGUGCUGGGGGUUGGGGGGCAGGCCUAGAUAGAGUCACAUUGGCCUCCGGUAUCCCCAGGUCAGGUGGGUGUGAAGAGAAGGGGAGCCAUCACUUGAGCACAGGUGACAAAGUCGUCGGGCUGGCUAGGGGUCGAUGUGUAUUUCUGCAGAGGUCAGACACACACUCACCAAGAUGGUGGUAGUGAAACUGGUCACAGGGGUUUGACGGGGCCUGGUGUAUGUGGGAGGGGGUUCUGCUGAACCCAAUGCCAAGGUCAUCGUGGCCAGGUUGGGGAAAAGGGACAACCCCCCUCCCCCACGCCAGACACCGUCACAGGGAGAGCGAGUGGGAGAAUCCUUGGGUCAGAAGAGAUGGGGAGGGGUUCUAUGUGGUCAGGUGACCUCAGGUGUACCCAGGCCAGACGUGCGUGUGUACAUGGAUUGUCUGCUGCACUGCCAUGACAAACUCCCAGGCCGAGGGAGGGGGGUGCUGGACAGUCUCUGAGAUGACGGGAGUGGAAUCAUCAGGUCAGAAAGGACGUGUCUGUGUUUUUGGGGCGACCUGGAUGUGGUCACGGUCGCGUGGAGUCGGGGGUCCCCGGCCCUGAGGAUCACGGGCGAUGGGGCGGGUCAUAAGCUGGGGGCCUCGCCUGGGUCCGGGAACUGGGCUCCCAGUCCCGAGGGUGCGAACCUCCCAGAGCUCGCCGGCCCCAUGCCCCCCAGGUCACCACGACCCUCGCCGCGUGAGCCCACAGCGAGGGGUGGAGAGGAGGAGCGCGAGCGCCCCUGAAGUGGGGACGGGGCCUCAGGACACUUCUUUAUCCUGGUAGACAGUCUCAUUCCUAAGUGAUCAACUCAUGACCAGGUGUCCCUCUCACAAGAAAGUUGUUUAUAGUCGCAGACGCCCUUGUGACCCUUGUCUGACCUGUGUCCGGUGUAUUCCUGCCAAGAGAGCCACUCUCUAGGAGAACGCCGACUGGGAAGGAAGUCAGGUCCGGGUGUGCGGGUGGCGUGAGACACAGAGAGGCAGCUCCACAGAACACGUGAAAUACCAGAGGCAGCGUCUUCUUUACAGAUUCCUCUCAGGGCCAGCAGGAAGGAAGAAACCCUCUGGGCCGUCCAUGCUUAGCCAGCAGGUGGGGAGCAAGAGAGAGUGAGGGCCCUGUGGGCCUAGGCCUUAAUCCGGGUCCAGGCAUUCCCAGGCCGGCUUUCCGUGGGGAGUUCUCCUCGGUGGGUUGAAAGCCAGCAGGCAG
This 1516-nucleotide long non-coding RNA is filed under the name Macaca fascicularis (crab-eating macaque). RNAcentral's name for it is "lncRNA (ENSMFAG00000054877.1)". The record is from RNAcentral. Lineage: Eukaryota; Metazoa; Chordata; Mammalia; Primates; Cercopithecidae.